This 71-nucleotide transfer RNA is filed under the name Prunus cerasifera (cherry plum). Its description in RNAcentral is "tRNA-Asn". It matches the Rfam family "tRNA". From Rfam's summary of the family: Transfer RNA (tRNA) molecules are approximately 80 nucleotides in length. Their secondary structure includes four short double-helical elements and three loops (D, anti-codon, and T loops). The record is from RNAcentral. Lineage: Eukaryota; Viridiplantae; Streptophyta; Magnoliopsida; Rosales; Rosaceae.
AUCCCAGUAGCUCAGUAGUAGAGCGGUCAGCUAUUCCUGAUUCGUCGUAGGUUCAAAUCCUACCUGGGAUC